UCCUCCCCCGAACCUCAUUAUUUGGUGAAUUUUGUGGAUGUUGGGAUGACAAUAACAUCUUGUGCCACAAUUACUUGAUCUGCCUUUAGAUUUGCUGCAACAAACUUUUAAGGGAAUUUGGCCCAACUUAAUAUUAAAUACACAUUCCCAAAAGAACGAUUAUUUUUUAAAAUUUAUAUUAAAUCUCAAGGGCAGCGAAACUCGCUUUUGUCUUUUCAUGUGCAUAUUUAAUCCACCGCUAAGUACUUAUCUAAUAUUUCAAGAUAUCUCUUUAAUUAACUCCUUCGAGAUGCCAGGCUUCCUCAAAUCACAAC
RNAcentral lists this long non-coding RNA (314 nucleotides) under Elaeis guineensis (African oil palm). Its description in RNAcentral is "long non-coding RNA (EGUI_LNC026584)". The record is from RNAcentral. Lineage: Eukaryota; Viridiplantae; Streptophyta; Magnoliopsida; Arecales; Arecaceae.